Molecule: long non-coding RNA, 888 nt
Filed under: Olea europaea (common olive)
Lineage: Eukaryota; Viridiplantae; Streptophyta; Magnoliopsida; Lamiales; Oleaceae
Description: long non-coding RNA (OEUR_LNC008503)
Source: RNAcentral
UGGAACAAGAAGUGAACUCUAUAAUCAAAAUUAUAACAACAUAAAGUUCGUUGAAUAACAUAAAAUGCUGCUAUAAGUUGAGCAAGCAACUGUGUUUAUUUACCCCUUAAUUAUAUUACUAACAUAAUACUGAACUUACAGUAUAGUUAGGCAGCAGCCCCAGUAGUAUAUCACAACCUGUGCAAUUACUAAUUUAUAAAAUGCAAAAGGAUGGACACUUGAAAACUAUGAUUGGUCAGGAACUGUUACAUCUUUUGCAAGUAGUAAAAUAAAUUACUCCAAGAAAUGAGCUUAGUUAUCACAACUGAAGUAGUCGACAUAACAUUCUUUUCAGCAACUUCUAAAGCAUCAUAGACCUCGUCUACUGGGACAGAUCACAUAUACAAAUGAGUGAGUGCACAAAGGUAAAAGAGUGAUAAUAAUUUCUGCAACAAUGGAAAAAGUAGACAAUAGAAAAAAAAAAUGAAACUCCUUAUCACCAUUACUAAAAGGCAAAUUUCAAUAAAAUAGCCCUAUUCAGCCCACUUCAUUUGGAAAAUUGUCUGGUGCAAAAAUGAGAAGAAGUAAUACUAACCUAGAAACACGCGAUCGGUAGUGGUGUGGCAUGGUGGUAGCAGAAGGCUAGAGAGAAGUGAGAAGACGACAUCAAGGCAGACGGGUGGGUUUUGCUGUAUUGGGUUGUUCUCGCACAGGCGAUAAAGGGAUAGAAUGAGGCCUUUCAAUCUAAGUUUUUCAUUUUCAUAUAUUAAAAAAAAAUCAGAGGCUCCUAAAUUGCUGGGCUGAUGGUUGAUUGAACGAUUGGUGGCUGAUUGAAGGUGGUAAUUUGGGAGAGAGUGGCGCGAACACAACAGGAUAAGAACAAAGACGCCGACCCUGUUUUCUUAAAAG